CGGAGUACGCCGAGGAGAAAAUUCUCGCUGGGGCCUCCAAAUGUUAUGGUGCCCACGAGUUAAGGUACAAGACAGCCAAACGGAAUUUAAGAGAGCCUUUAUUAG
Molecule: microRNA precursor, 105 nt
Filed under: Choloepus hoffmanni (Hoffmann's two-fingered sloth)
Lineage: Eukaryota; Metazoa; Chordata; Mammalia; Pilosa; Megalonychidae
Description: miRNA (ENSCHOG00000014837.1)
Source: RNAcentral